This 159-nucleotide ribosomal RNA is filed under the name Pseudocercospora luzardii. RNAcentral's name for it is "5.8S ribosomal RNA". The stretch from base 1 to 91 matches the Rfam family "5.8S ribosomal RNA", at positions 64 to 154 of the family's 154-position model. Rfam says of the family: 5.8S ribosomal RNA (5.8S rRNA) is a component of the large subunit of the eukaryotic ribosome. The record is from RNAcentral. Lineage: Eukaryota; Fungi; Ascomycota; Dothideomycetes; Mycosphaerellales; Mycosphaerellaceae.
AAUGUGAAUUGCAGAAUUCAGUGAAUCAUCGAAUCUUUGAACGCACAUUGCGCCCUUUGGUAUUCCGAAGGGCAUGCCUGUUCGAGCGUCAUUUCACCACUCAAGCCUGGCUUGGUAUUGGGCGUCGCGGCUCCGCGCGCCUUAAAGUCUCCGGCUGAG